Molecule: small nuclear RNA, 106 nt
Organism: Erinaceus europaeus (western European hedgehog)
Lineage: Eukaryota; Metazoa; Chordata; Mammalia; Eulipotyphla; Erinaceidae
Source: Ensembl
AUACUCACUUUGGCAGCACCUGUACUAAAAUUGGAAUGCUACAGAAAGAUUAGCAUGGGUGUUCUAUAAGGAUGACACACAUAUCUGAAGCAUUCACACAUUUUCU